Molecule: ribosomal RNA, 253 nt
Filed under: uncultured archaeon
Lineage: Archaea
Description: partial 16S ribosomal RNA
Rfam family: Archaeal small subunit ribosomal RNA
Source: RNAcentral
CACCAGCGCCACAAGUGGGGGCCGCAUUUAUUUGGCCUAAAGCGUCCGUAGCAGGUUCUGUAAAUCUCUUGUGAAAUUGUGAGUCUCAAGCUUACAACGUGCAGGAGACACUGCAAAACUAGGGACCGGGAGAGGUUAGGAGUAUUCUUGGGGGAGCGGUAAAAUGUUAUAAUCCCAAGAAGACUACCAGUGGCGAAGGCGCCUAACCAGAACGGGUCUGACUGUGAGGGACGAAAGCCAGGGGAGCGAUCCG